GCUGGGGCUCAGAGGUAGAGCACUUGUCUAGCAUGCACGAGGCCCUGGAUUCAAUCCCCAGCACAAUA
Molecule: transfer RNA, 68 nt
Filed under: Marmota monax (woodchuck)
Lineage: Eukaryota; Metazoa; Chordata; Mammalia; Rodentia; Sciuridae
Description: tRNA.Ala
Source: RNAcentral